GAUGAACGCUGGCGGCGUGCUUAACACAUGCAAGUCGAACGGUGAAAGCGGAGCUUGCUCCGCUGGAUCAGUGGCGAACGGGUGAGUAACACGUGGGCAACCUGCCCCUCACUUCGGGAUAACUCCGGGAAACCGGGGCUAAUACCGGAUAUGACCUCCUUGGGCAUCCUUGGAGGUGGAAAGUUUUUCGGUGAGGGAUGGGCCCGCGGCCUAUCAGCUUGUUGGUGAGGUAGUGGCUCACCAAGGCGACGACGGGUAGCCGGCCUGAGAGGGCGACCGGCCACACUGGGACUGAGACACGGCCCAGACUCCGACGGGAGGCAGCGGUGGGGAAGAUUGCGCAAUGGGCGAAAGCCUGACGCAGCAACGCCGCGUGCGGGAUGACGGCCUUCGGGUUGUAAACCGCUUUCAGCAGGGAAGAAGCCGCAAGGUGACGGUACCUGCAGAAGAAGCACCGGCUAACUACGUGCCAGCAGCCGCCGUAA
RNAcentral lists this ribosomal RNA (485 nucleotides) under uncultured bacterium. RNAcentral describes it as "partial 16S ribosomal RNA". It matches the Rfam family "Bacterial small subunit ribosomal RNA", at positions 28 to 523 of the family's 1533-position model. The record is from RNAcentral.